Molecule: non-coding RNA, 29 nt
Filed under: Rattus norvegicus (Norway rat)
Lineage: Eukaryota; Metazoa; Chordata; Mammalia; Rodentia; Muridae
Source: RNAcentral
UAGACAGAAAGGAAAUGAUCCUGAUGAUA